RNAcentral lists this ribosomal RNA (933 nucleotides) under uncultured Xiphinematobacteriaceae bacterium. RNAcentral describes it as "bacterial SSU rRNA". It matches the Rfam family "Bacterial small subunit ribosomal RNA", at positions 56 to 971 of the family's 1533-position model. Lineage: Bacteria; Pseudomonadati; Verrucomicrobiota; Spartobacteria. The record is from RNAcentral.
UGCAAGUCGAACGGGAUUAUUUUUGUAGCAAUACAGAAAUAAUUCAGUGGCGAACGGGUGCGUAACACGUGGGCAAUCUGCCGAAAAGUGGGGGAUAGCUCGCCGAAAGGCGAAUUAAUACCGCAUGUGGUGAGGGACGACAUCUUCCUGAAUCCAAAGCCGGGGCAACCUGGCGCUUUUUGAGGAGCCCGCGGCCUAUCAGCUAGUUGGCGGGGUAACGGCCCACCAAGGCUAUGACGGGUAGCUGGUCUGAGAGGACGACCAGUCACACUGGAACUGAGACACGGUCCAGACACCUACGGGUGGCAGCAGUCGAGAAUUUUUCUCAAUGGGGGAAACCCUGAAGGAGCGACGCCGCGUGGAGGAUGAAGGCUUUCGGGUUGUAAACUCCUGUCAUUUGAGAACAAGUGUGAGCAAGUAACUACUGCUCAUUUGAUAGUAUCAGAAGAGGAAGGGACGGCUAACUCUGUGCCAGCAGCCGCGGUAAUACAGAGGUCCCAAGCGUUGUUCGGAUUCAUUGGGCGUAAAGGGUGCGUAGGUGGCGCCGUAAGUCGGGUGUGAAAUUUCGGAGCUUAACUCCGAAACUGCAUUCGAUACUGCGGUGCUUGAGGACUGGAGAGGAGACUGGAAUUCAUGGUGUAGCAGUGAAAUGCGUAGAGAUCAUGAGGAAGACCAGUGGCGAAGGCGGGUCUCUGGACAGUUCCUGACACUGAGGCACGAAGGCCAGGGGAGCAAACGGGAUUAGAUACCCCGGUAGUCCUGGCAGUAAACGGUGCACGUUUGGUGUGGGAGGAUUCGACCCCUUCCGCGCCGGAGCUAACGCGUUAAACGUGCCGCCUGGGGAGUACGGUCGCAAGAUUAAAACUCAAAGAAAUUGACGGGGGCCCGCACAAGCGGUGGAGUAUGUGGCUUAAUUCGAUGCACGCGAGACCU